AAUUCAAAAAAAACCUUAAAAAAAUUGAAAGGAAAUUCAUAAUAAACCUUAAAAGAAUCCUUAAGAACUCCUAAAAAAUAUUAGAAUAAUUAUAAAUAUAUCUUAAAUAAAUCUCAACUAAGCUUUAAUUUAAUCCUAGUUGAAAUCUUAAAAGACUUCAAUCGAAUCCUAGAUAAAUCUUAAAUCCUAAACCAAACUCUAAAUUAAAUCUUAGAAAAAUCCUAAAUUCUAAACCAAAUCCUAAAUCAAAUCUUAAAAAAUCCUAAAUUCUAAAUCAAACCAUAGACAAAUCUUAUAUCAUAAACCAAAUCCUAAAUCCUAAAUCAAAUCCUAAAAAAAUUCUAAAUUCUAAAUCAAACCUUUAAUCAAAUCUUAAUCCUAAACCAAAUCUUAAACAAAUCCUAAAUCCUAAAUCAAAUCCUAGACAAAUCCUAAACUCUAAACCAAAUCCUAGACAAAUCCUAACCAACUCAAUCUAAUCUAGGCACAGUUUAGAACCUCAAUAUCUAUCAAUCAAACUAUUUAUCUUACCUAAAAAUUUAUACAUCUUUCAACAAAUAAGUUGAAAAUAAAUACAAAAAAUUUGAAGAUAAUUUCACUUAUUGAAUAAAAGAAAAAU
Molecule: long non-coding RNA, 619 nt
Filed under: Physcomitrium patens
Lineage: Eukaryota; Viridiplantae; Streptophyta; Bryopsida; Funariales; Funariaceae
Description: long non-coding RNA (PPAT_LNC004692)
Source: RNAcentral